CAGGGUCUUGAGGCAUAUAUUUUUAUCUUGCAUCUUUGUGAAAUACCUAGGUAUAGUUACGUUUCCGUACACUCAUUAUUUCUUGUUUCUUUGGUUUUUAAUGAGCGGCUACCAGUGAAGAAUCAUAAUGAAAACAAGCACAUCUUCCAUAGAGAAAUAUUCUUCUCAGGCAAGACUGAUUCCCAUUGCAGUCAAAGGAAGUUAUUGCUAUGAUGUAUGGGCACAAGUCAAGGUCCAAAGAUUUUUAUAAUCUAUCACUUUUAUAAUCGUGAUAGAUGGAGUCAAAACUAAUGUUUGAUAUGCUAAGGCCUAAUCCUCUGUAAGACAGCUCUCUUUCUGCUUUGUGUUCUUUUUUAGACAUUUCACCAGCAAAAAAUUAUUGACUAACCAAAACGAGCUCAGGAACGAAGAGCUGAAAAGUAGGAGAAGAAAGAAGAAAUUUAAUCCCUCAUAAUGAGGAGAGGUGACCUGAGCUACAUGGUGAUACAAGGACUUUUGGCAACAUUACAGAAGGACACUGUUGCUUCUAGGACACGUAAAAUUACUGUUGACGACACUUGCAUUUUCCAGCUGAGGAUCUCAGUAAAUACAGGGCUGAUCAGUUAUAAAUGAACCUCUUUGCUCAGAGAGAGGAAGAGAGCACAAGGAAAGAUGACAGUUAUUGAAGACUAUUCCGCAUGUAAAUACUGGUCUGCACACAGUUUAGAAGGAAGCUCCAGAAUAAACAGCACUAGUUUCCAGAUUCUGAAAGAUGCCAUAUGUCAGACUGAUGGGCUAGCUAAAGUAUAUGUUUCCUCCCCGCCAAAGAUGUGCAUAUCCUUCCAGGAAAAACUUACUCUUAAGCAGCAGGUAAGAAAUAUGGGUAACAAUAUUUAGGGAGGAAUAAGGACAUCAUUUAAUAUAUUUAAUCUUAUUAUACAUUUUUCUACAUUAAAGUCAACAGGCUGCAAAUAUAUUCUGCUACAAAGCUUUUUGUAAGAAAUAUCUCUAUAAGAAAAUACAUCUUGUUAAACAUUUCCUGUAAAUAAAUUAUCCCAAGUAACUAAGUUUUGUGAGAGG
This 1059-nucleotide long non-coding RNA is filed under the name Struthio camelus australis. Its description in RNAcentral is "lncRNA (ENSSCUG00000015286.1)". The record is from RNAcentral. Lineage: Eukaryota; Metazoa; Chordata; Aves; Struthioniformes; Struthionidae.